Molecule: ribosomal RNA, 305 nt
Filed under: uncultured bacterium
Lineage: Bacteria
Description: bacterial SSU rRNA
Rfam family: Bacterial small subunit ribosomal RNA
Source: RNAcentral
ACCUACGGGGGGCAGCAGUGAGGAAUAUUGGUCAAUGGUCGGGAGACUGAACCAGCCAGGCCGCGUGAGGGAUGAAGGUACAGAGUAUCGUAAACCUCUUUUGUCAGGGAACAAAGGCGGGGACGUGUCCCCGGAUGAGUGUACCUGAAGAAAAAGCAUCGGCUAACUCCGUGCCAGCAGCCGCGGUAAUACGGAGGACGCGAGCGUUAUCCGGAUUUAUUGGGUUUAAAGGGUGCGCAGGCGGUCUGUUAAGUCAGCGGUCAAAGCCCGGGGCUCAACCCCGGCCCGCCGUUGAAACUGGCAGG